AUGACAACCACCACAAACGGCCACCGACGCGGCGUCUGCUGCGCCGUCUCCGGCCUCGUCUACAACACCGUCGACAAGCUCGUACAAACGCCCUCCGGCGCGGUCCGCCGCGUCGUCUCCGGCCUCGUCUGCGAUGGCGUCGACGAGCUCGUACAAACGCCCUCCGGCGCGGUCCGCCGCGUCGUCUCCGGCCUCGUCUACGACGCCGUCGGCGAGCUCGUCCAAACACCCUCCGGCACGGUCGGCCGCGCCGUCGAGCACGUACAAACAGCCACCGGCGCGGUCCGCCGCGUCGUUUACGGCCCGUCUGCGACGUCCCCACGCACGGCCACCUCCUCCCGCCGGUGUCAAUCGCUCUGCGGCUGGGUUUGCGUUUGUCACGCAUGCAUGCAGGCUCGCGCAUAUCCCACUUGCAUGCAUGUUGAGAACGGAAGGAGAAGAAAGGAAAUUGCUUUGAUUGACGAAUCAAUGUCGAUUAGUGCAUGGCCUAAAGAAGGAAGAACGGAAGGAAAGGAAAGGAAAUUGUUUUGA
RNAcentral lists this ribosomal RNA (531 nucleotides) under Triticum aestivum (bread wheat). RNAcentral describes it as "partial small subunit ribosomal RNA". The record is from RNAcentral. Lineage: Eukaryota; Viridiplantae; Streptophyta; Magnoliopsida; Poales; Poaceae.